This 253-nucleotide ribosomal RNA is filed under the name uncultured bacterium. Its description in RNAcentral is "partial 16S ribosomal RNA". It matches the Rfam family "Bacterial small subunit ribosomal RNA", at positions 524 to 776 of the family's 1533-position model. The record is from RNAcentral.
UACAGAGGUCCCAAGCGUUGUUCGGAUUCACUGGGCGUAAAGGGUGUGUAGGCGGCCAAGAUAGUCUGGUGUCAAAUCUCUGGGCUCAACCCAGAUACCGCACCGGAUACUUCAUGGCUAGAGAAGCGUAGGGGGAACCGGAAUUCUCGGUGUAGCAGUGAAAUGCGUAGAUAUCGAGAGGAACGCCAGUGGCGAAAGCGGGUUCCUGGAUGCCUUCUGACGCUGAGGCACUAAAGCUGGGGGAGCAAACGGG